RNAcentral lists this ribosomal RNA (513 nucleotides) under uncultured bacterium. RNAcentral's name for it is "bacterial SSU rRNA". It matches the Rfam family "Bacterial small subunit ribosomal RNA", at positions 15 to 518 of the family's 1533-position model. The record is from RNAcentral.
GAUCAUGGCUCAGAACGAACGCUGGCGGCGCGUUUAAGCAUGCAAGUCGAGCGGCAAGGGCCUUCGGGCCCCUAGAGCGGCGGACGGGUGAGUAACACGUGGACAAUCUGCCCCCCGGCCCGGGAUAGCCCAGGGAAACCUGGAUUAAUACCGGAUGAGACGGGACCCGCGAUGGCGGGAUCCGGGAAAGGCGCUGCGGCGCCGCCGGGGGAUGAGUCUGCGUCCCAUUAGCUAGACGGCGGGGUAACGGCCCACCGUGGCGACGAUGGGUAGCCGGCCUGAGAGGGUGGACGGCCACAUUGGAACUGAGACACGGUCCAGACUCCUACGGGAGGCAGCGGCUAAGAAUCUUCCGCAAUGGGCGAAAGCCUGACGGAGCGACGCCCGCGUGAACGAAGAAGGCCGUGAGGUUGUAAAGUUCUUUUCGGGAGGGGGAACAACCGUGGCAGGGAAUGGCCGCGGGAUGACGUGAAUCCCGGAAUAAGCCCCGGCUAACUACGUGCCAGCAGCCGC